This 73-nucleotide transfer RNA is filed under the name Canis lupus familiaris (dog). It matches the Rfam family "tRNA". From Rfam's summary of the family: Transfer RNA (tRNA) molecules are approximately 80 nucleotides in length. Their secondary structure includes four short double-helical elements and three loops (D, anti-codon, and T loops). Further hydrogen bonds mediate the characteristic L-shaped molecular structure. tRNAs have two regions of fundamental functional importance: the anti-codon, which is responsible for specific mRNA codon recognition, and the 3' end, to which the tRNAs corresponding amino acid is attached (by aminoacyl-tRNA synthetases). tRNAs cope with the degeneracy of the genetic code in two manners: having more than one tRNA (with a specific anti-codon) for a particular amino acid; and 'wobble' base-pairing, i.e. permitting non-standard base-pairing at the 3rd anti-codon position. The record is from Rfam by way of RNAcentral. Lineage: Eukaryota; Metazoa; Chordata; Mammalia; Carnivora; Canidae.
GCCUGGCUUGCUCAGCCAGUAGAGCAUGAGACUCUUGAUCUCAGGGUUAUAGGUUUGAGCCCUACAUUAGGUG